This 465-nucleotide ribosomal RNA is filed under the name uncultured bacterium. Its description in RNAcentral is "partial 16S ribosomal RNA". It matches the Rfam family "Bacterial small subunit ribosomal RNA", at positions 28 to 507 of the family's 1533-position model. The record is from RNAcentral.
GACGAACGCUGGCGGCGUGCUUAACACAUGCAAGUCGAACGGAAAGGCCCCUUUGGGGGUACUCGAGUGGCGCACGGGUGAGUAACACGUGAGUAACCUGCCCUUGACUUCGGGAUAACUUCAGGAAACUGGGGCUAAUACCGGAUAGGAAUCCUUGCUGCAUGGUGGGGGUUGGAAAGCUUCGGCGGUUUUGGAUGGACUCGCGGCUUAUCAGCUUGUUGGUGGGGUAGUGGCUUACCAAGGCUUUGACGGGUAGCCGGCCUGAGAGGGCGACCGGCCACAGUGGGACUGAGAUACGGCCCAGACUCCUACGGGAGGCAGCAGUGGGGAAUAUUGCACAAUGGGCGGAAGCCUGAUGCAGCAACGCCGCGUGCGGGAGGACGGCCUUCGGGCUGUAAACCGCUUUCAGCAGGGGCGAAGCUUGUGGUGACGGUACCUGCAGAAGAAGCACCGGCUAACUACGUG